Molecule: non-coding RNA, 1241 nt
Organism: Agelaius phoeniceus (red-winged blackbird)
Lineage: Eukaryota; Metazoa; Chordata; Aves; Passeriformes; Icteridae
Source: RefSeq, a predicted model, not a curated record
AGAAGUCAAACACUAGGCAGAAAACAAAACAAAACAGUACCUUUGCAGGACUUUUAUAUGGUUUCAGUUCUCCUUGGUUACUAAUGAAGCCCUCUCCUCUGGAAGCAAACCAAAUUGCACAGCCAAUACUGUCAUCCAAGACUGUAUCCAGUGGAUAGAUUAAGUAAUUAAUACGCUGUUUUCUCAUUUUUUUCAAUUCCUCUAGUGUAACAUUAAUUUCCACAAAGUUCCAGGUUCUUGAAGGGUUAAUGGCUUUUAAUUCCUUCAGUCCUGCCCUACCAGUGAUUCUGUCAGGAACAUCAAAGCAAGAUGAAUGAGUACCAGAGUCAGCAGCAGGAUCUUGACAGCUUUCUUGAGGACAAAGCAAAUCAAGCUGUACUUCAUGGCUGCUGUACUUCCAUGGAAACAAUGUUAAAGACAAAGAUUUAGUUGCUGCACAAGCUUUGAGAUCAAUUUUGAAAAUUCCACAUGCUGGGACUUCUUGCCAUUGGUUGCCUGAUUCAGAACAACCACUUACAGAUGUGAGACAGAGAGCGCCGUUAACCUCACUACUGAAUUGCCAAAGCAAACUACGACGGCCAAAGUAAUCUCUGCCAAACCAUAAACUGUGUCUGGGUGCUUCAUAAUAGAUAAAAGACCAGGGACCCUGAAGUGAUGAGAAGAGUGACAAAAUGUCCAUUUCACUGCUGCAUGAAGCCAGAUGAUGAAAUAUUACUUCAGUGUCAUUCUCUAGAUUUCCUACAGGGACUCCACUGAAAAUUUCUCCAUUCCAAAGAAAAACAUUGUUAUUGGCAUCUUCCAGAGGCUGGGGAGUCACCAGUCCCCUCAAGUGAAGUACGUGGCCUGAAAACAGACAUUGAUAAGAGAGAUCAGACACAGUUUUUAUCAACUGUUGGCUACUGUCUGGUCCUCUUCGUCUUAGAUGGCAGAGGAUGUCUUCACUGAGGAAAUCAUGAAUCACACGCUGGCUGCACAAGGUAACAACACAGCAAAUACCACACAUUGCAACGAGGAAUUCACAUCAACUACUUCUUGAUUUUAGCCUUUUCUGAAUUUUCCAGCUCCUGAUGUGCCUUCUUUAAUUCAUCUAGUGUGUCUGUGUAAGAGAAAAUUACACAAAUAAUCAGUUUCACAAACAGGAAAGUUUAUGCAUAGGUAUGUUUCAGUGUAUAUCCACAACAUUAAUAAUUCCAGCCACUUGUUCAAUUAAAGUGAAAAACAUAAAACACUAAUUAAGCAAA